CAAAAAUUAGCCAGGUGUGGUGGUGUGUGCCUAUAAUCCCAGCUACUCGGGAGGCUGAGGAAGGAGAAUCGCUUGAACCCAGGAGGCAGAGGUUGCAGUGAGCCGAGAUGGUGCCACUGCACUCCAGCUUGGGUGACAGAGCGAGACUCUGUCUCAAAAAAUAAAAAAUAAGCUAGUGGACUUUGAGCAAAGCAGACUGUUCGCCACAAUGUGGGUGGGCCUCACCUGAUCAGUUGAAGUACUGAAUAGAACAAACCUCGCUCUACCCUGAGCAAGAAGAAAUUCUGCCAGCAGACCACUUUUGGACUCAAACUGCAAAUCCUGAAUCUCCAGCUUGCCAGCCUACUCCACCUGAUUUAGCAGAUUUUGGACCCACCAAGCCUCCAUAAUUCUAAGACAAGGCACAGACACAGAGGAGAAGCCGUAUGAAGAUGAAGGAAAUGACUGGAGUUAUGAGCCAAGGAACGCCUGGAACCACCAGAAAUUGGAAGAGGGAAGAAAAAAAUCUCCCCUAGAGAAUCUUGUUCAGAGGGAGCGUAGCCCUGCCAUCACCUUGAUUCCAGACUCUUGUCGUACAGAACUGUUAGAGAAUAAAUUUCUGUUGUUUUAAACCACCAAAUUUGUGGGAAUUUUUACAGGAGCCCCAAAAAAC
RNAcentral lists this long non-coding RNA (652 nucleotides) under Homo sapiens (human). RNAcentral's name for it is "non-protein coding lnc-KCTD1-2:2". The record is from RNAcentral. Lineage: Eukaryota; Metazoa; Chordata; Mammalia; Primates; Hominidae.